Molecule: ribosomal RNA, 253 nt
Filed under: uncultured bacterium
Lineage: Bacteria
Description: partial 16S ribosomal RNA
Rfam family: Bacterial small subunit ribosomal RNA
Source: RNAcentral
UACGGAGGGCGCAAGCGUUGUUCGGAAUCACUGGGCGUAAAGCGCACGUAGGCGGCGCGUUAAGUCAGGGGUGAAAUCCUGGAGCUCAACUCCAGAACUGCCUUUGAUACUGGCGUGCUCGAGUGUGGGAGAGGUUGGUGGAACUCCGAGUGUAGAGGUGAAAUUCGUAGAUAUUCGGAAGAACACCAGUGGCGAAGGCGGCCAACUGGCCCAUUACUGACGCUGAGGUGCGAAAGCGUGGGGAGCAAACAGG